CUUUCAGCCGAUGGAUAUCUUGGCUCGGGCACCU
Molecule: ribosomal RNA, 34 nt
Filed under: Symbiodinium sp. M84
Lineage: Eukaryota; Dinophyceae; Suessiales; Symbiodiniaceae
Description: partial 5.8S ribosomal RNA
Source: RNAcentral